GAAACUGCGAAUGGCUCAUUAAAUCAGUUAUCGUCUAUUUGAUAGUACCUUACUACUUGGAUAACCGUGGUAAUUCUAGAGCUAAUACAUGCUGAAAACCCCGACUUCGGAAGGGAUGUAUUUAUUAGAUUAAAAGCCAAUGCCCUUCGGGGCUCCCUGGUGAUUCAUAAUAACUGCUCGAAUCGCACGGCCUUGCGCCGGCGAUGGUUCAUUCAAAUUUCUGCCCUAUCAACUUUCGACGGCUGGGUCUUGGCCAGCCGUGGUGACAACGGGUAACGGAGGGUUAGGGCUCGACCCCGGAGAAGGAGCCUGAGAAACGGCUACUACAUCCAAGGAAGGCAGCAGGCGCGCAAAUUACCCAAUCCCGACUCGGGGAGGUAGUGACAAUAAAUACUGAUACAGGGCUCUUUUGGGUCUUGUAAUUGGAAUGAGUACAAUUUAAUUCCCUUAACGAGGAACAAUUGGAGGGCAAGUCUGGUGCCAGCAGCCGCGGUAAUUCCAGCUCCAAUAGCGUAUAUUAAAGUUGUUGCAGUUAAAAAGCUCGUAGUUGAACCUUGGGCCUGGCUGGCCGGUCCGCCUCACCGCGUGCACUGGUCCGGCCGGGCCUUUCCCUCUGGGGAGCCGCAUGCCCUUCACUGGGCGUGUCGGGGAACCAGGACUUUUACUUUGAAAAAAUUAGAGUGUUCAAAGCAGGCUUAUGCUCGAAUACAUUAGCAUGGAAUAAUAGAAUAGGACGCGUGGUUCUAUUUUGUUGGUUUCUAGGACCGCCGUAAUGAUUAAUAGGGACAGUCGGGGGCAUCAGUAUUCAGUUGCGAGAGGUGAAAUUCUUGGACCAACUGAAGACUAACUACUGCGAAAGCAUUUGCCAAGGAUGUUUUCAUUAAUCAGGAACGAAAGUUAGGGGAUCGAAGACGAUCAGAUACCGUCGUAGUCUUAACCAUAAACUAUGCCGACUAGGGAUCGGGCGG
RNAcentral lists this ribosomal RNA (968 nucleotides) under Dryadomyces quercivorus. RNAcentral describes it as "SSU rRNA". It matches the Rfam family "Eukaryotic small subunit ribosomal RNA", at positions 83 to 1060 of the family's 1831-position model. The record is from RNAcentral. Lineage: Eukaryota; Fungi; Ascomycota; Sordariomycetes; Ophiostomatales; Ophiostomataceae.